GACGAACGCUGGCGGCGUGCCUAAUACAUGCAAGUUGAGCGCUGAAGGUUGGUACUUGUACCGACUGGAUGAGCAGCGAACGGGUGAGUAACGCGUGGGGAAUCUGCCUUUGAGCGGGGGACAACAUUUGGAAACGAAUGCUAAUACCGCAUAAAAACUUUAAACACAAGUUUUAAGUUUGAAAGAUGCAAUUGCAUCACUCAAAGAUGAUCCCGCGUUGUAUUAGCUAGUUGGUGAGGUAAAGGCUCACCAAGGCGAUGAGACAUAGCCGACCUGAGAGGGUGAGCGGCCACAUUGGGACUGAGACACGGCCCAAACCCCUACGGGAGGCAGCAGUAGGGAAUCUUCGGCAAUGGACGAAAGUCUGACCGAGCAACGCCGCGUGAGUGAAGAAGGUUUUCGGAUCGUAAAACUCUGUUGGUAGAGAAGAACGUUGGUGAGAGUGGAAAGCUCAUCAAGUGACGGUAACUACCCAGAAAGGGACGGCUAACUACGUG
This 497-nucleotide ribosomal RNA is filed under the name uncultured bacterium. Its description in RNAcentral is "partial 16S ribosomal RNA". It matches the Rfam family "Bacterial small subunit ribosomal RNA", at positions 28 to 507 of the family's 1533-position model. The record is from RNAcentral.